UACGGGGGGAGCAAGCGUUGUUCGGAUUACUGGGCGUAAAGGGCGCGUAGGCGGUCAGCACAAGUCAGUUGUGAAAUCUCCGGGCUUAACCCGGAAAGGUCAACUGAUACUGUGCGACUAGAGUGCGGAAGGGGCAACUGGAAUUCCUGGUGUAGCGGUGGAAAUGCGCAGAUAUCAGGAGGAACACCGGUGGCGAAGGCGGGUCUCUGGGCCGAUACUGACGCUGAGGAGCGAAAGCGUGGGGAGCGAACAGG
RNAcentral lists this ribosomal RNA (254 nucleotides) under uncultured bacterium. Its description in RNAcentral is "partial 16S ribosomal RNA". It matches the Rfam family "Bacterial small subunit ribosomal RNA", at positions 524 to 776 of the family's 1533-position model. The record is from RNAcentral.